Molecule: ribosomal RNA, 520 nt
Filed under: uncultured Pseudomonadota bacterium
Lineage: Bacteria; Pseudomonadati; Pseudomonadota
Description: bacterial SSU rRNA
Rfam family: Bacterial small subunit ribosomal RNA
Source: RNAcentral
CGAUCCAGCAAUACCGCGUGUGUGAAGAAGGCCUGAGGGUUGUAAAGCACUUUCAAUGGGGAGGAAAACCUGCCGGCCAAUACCCGGCAGCUUGACAUUACCUAUAGAAGAAGCACCGGCUAACUCCGUGCCAGCAGCCGCGGUAAUACGGAGGGUGCAAGCGUUAAUCGGAAUUACUGGGCGUAAAGCGUGCGUAGGCGGUUGCUUAAGUCAGAUGUGAAAGCCCCGGGCUUAACCUGGGAACUGCAUUUGAUACUGGGCAACUAGAGUUUAAUAGAGGAGAGUGGAAUUUCAGGUGUAGCGGUGAAAUGCGUAGAGAUCUGAAGGAACACCAGUGGCGAAGGCGACUCUCUGGAUUAAAACUGACGCUGAGGUACGAAAGCGUGGGUAGCAAACAGGAUUAGAUACCCUGGUAGUCCACGCCGUAAACGAUGUCAACUAGCCGUUGGGCCUUUUUACAGGCUUAGUGGCGCAGCUAACGCAUUAAGUUGACCGCCUGGGGAGUACGGCCGCAAGGUUA